This 433-nucleotide ribosomal RNA is filed under the name uncultured bacterium. RNAcentral's name for it is "partial 16S ribosomal RNA". It matches the Rfam family "Bacterial small subunit ribosomal RNA", at positions 29 to 507 of the family's 1533-position model. The record is from RNAcentral.
AACGAACGCUGGCGGCAUGCCUAACACAUGCAAGUCGAACGGCACCUUCGGGUCUGCUUGCUCACGCGUGCGUAACGCGGCGGAACCUGGCCGUAUGCUCCGAAUUACACCUCGUCGGGGGUGCUAACACCGGAUAAUUUCCUCGGACCAAAGAUUUAUCGUCCUGGGAUGGGCCGGCGUUGGUUUAGCUGGUUGGUAGGGUAAAAGCCUAUCAAGGGGAGGCUCCUUAGCUGGUUAGAGAGGAUGAGCAGCCACACUGCGGCUGAGAUACGGCCGAGAAUACUACGGGAGGCAGCAGUGCGGAAUAUUGAACAAUCGGCGAAAGGAUGAUGCAGCACGGCUGCGUGAGUGAUGAAGGUGUUAGAGUUGUGAAGCUCUUUUAGCCGGGGUGAUAAUGACGGUACCGGGAGAAUAAGCACCGGCUAACUUCGUG